CCUCCUUCAUAUCCACGAAAUUCCUCUUCAUUUUACCCUCAUUUGACCAGCCAAUACUCCAGGGAAUUACUCUCAACCUUCAUCUCAUUUUCAAGCACAAGAACUUCCUUCCAAAGCCAUUAAAACCAUGAACUAAAGGGCUGUUGUCCCUUUGUGUUUCAGCCACCAUUUCACCCAUCUACACCUUCCUUUUGCUUGAUAUUUUUACCACCAAAUACCCCUGAAAGUUACUUGUUAUGAUACUCAAAAUUAUUGAUUCAAAACAGUGAGUAAACUACCCUUUUUCUUGCUCUUUUGCUGUGAAAUUUUCGUGACAGCAACAUAGCCAAAAGAGUGGCUGUUUUGGAGCAUCAAACCAACAACCAAAAGUUCAUCUUCAACCUUCCAUUCUUCAAUUAUUCACAUAAGGGAACCGCUAAGCAGAUUUGGAAAUCAACUUUUGGGGAUUAACGUGCUGACGUUAAUUACUUCUUUUGAAGGAUGUUUAUGUAUUUAUCUUUUGAACAAGUAACGAAUACGAUUAUGUAAACAUUUUGGAAACUUUAAUAUAUGGUGGUGUGUACUUUCCUUUC
Lactuca sativa (garden lettuce) is the source of this 572-nucleotide long non-coding RNA. RefSeq lists it as uncharacterized. NCBI's taxonomy places the organism in Eukaryota, Viridiplantae, Streptophyta, Magnoliopsida, Asterales, Asteraceae. The record is from RefSeq and is a predicted model, not a curated record.